GGUGUUCACCAAAAACUACAUAAUAACAGAUUUUUGUCACUCGACCAUUUCAGAAUCCAGGAACGAGCCUCAUGAUAUUGAAACGAAGAUCACGAGAAAAGACACAGACCUCCGCCACUACCCUUACUCAGCAGGAACGAACCUUUCAACUGACAAAACAAAAUGUGAACCCUUUGUAAACCUUUUUAGGCAGCUGUGAAUAAAUCCAGGAACGAGCCUCAUGAUAUUGAAACGAAAAUCACGAGAAAAGACACAGACCUCCGCCACUGUGAGAUACUGCUGUAACCAAACAUUUCAAGCUAUCUUAAUGAACAAUUUCACUAGU
This is a long non-coding RNA of Bolinopsis microptera, 325 nucleotides long. RefSeq lists it as uncharacterized. The record is from RefSeq and is a predicted model, not a curated record. Lineage: Eukaryota; Metazoa; Ctenophora; Tentaculata; Lobata; Bolinopsidae. The transcript has 3 exons.